RNAcentral lists this ribosomal RNA (443 nucleotides) under uncultured bacterium. Its description in RNAcentral is "partial 16S ribosomal RNA". It matches the Rfam family "Bacterial small subunit ribosomal RNA", at positions 338 to 795 of the family's 1533-position model. The record is from RNAcentral.
CCUACGGGAGGCAGCAGUGGGGAAUAUUGGUCAAUGGGCGCAAGCCUGACCCAGCAACGCCGCGUGAAGGAAGAAGGCUUUCGGGUUGGAAACUUCUUUUCUCAGGGACGAAGAAAGUGACGGUACCUGAGGAAUAAGCCAAGGCUAACUACGUGCCAGCAGCCGCUCUAAUACGGAGGUGGCAAGCGUUAUCCGGAUUCAUUGGGUGUAAAGGUCGUGUAGGCGGGAGGGCAAGGCAGAUGUGAAAUCUCAGGGCUCAACCCUGAGCCUGCAUUGGAAACUGUGUUUCUUGAGUGCUGGAGAGGCAAGCGGAAUGCCGUGUGUAGCGGUGAAAUGCGUAGAUAUACGGAGGAACACCAGUGGCGAAGGCAGAUUGCUGGACAGUAACUGACGCUGAGGCGCGAAAGCGUGGGGAGCAAACAGGAUUAGAUACCCGGGUAGUC